UACGGGGGGGGCAAGCGUUGUUCGGAAUUACUGGGCGUAAAGGGCGCGUAGGCGGCUCUUCAAGUCAGCCGUGAAAUCUCCGGGCUUAACCUGGAAGGGUCGGUUGAUACUGUCGAGCUAGAGUGUGGAAGAGGCAACUGGAAUUCCGUGUGUAGCGGUGAAAUGCGUAGAUAUACGGAGGAACACCUGCGGCGAAGGCGGGUUGCUGGGCCAACACUGACGCUGAGGCGCGAAAGCCAGGGUAGCAAACGGG
Molecule: ribosomal RNA, 253 nt
Filed under: uncultured bacterium
Lineage: Bacteria
Description: partial 16S ribosomal RNA
Rfam family: Bacterial small subunit ribosomal RNA
Source: RNAcentral